RNAcentral lists this long non-coding RNA (3057 nucleotides) under Equus caballus (horse). RNAcentral describes it as "lncRNA (ENSECAG00000056528.1)". Lineage: Eukaryota; Metazoa; Chordata; Mammalia; Perissodactyla; Equidae. The record is from RNAcentral.
AGUUACUCUAAUAGUGACGCUGAAAAUACUAAUAGUCAUAGCACUUGUCUAUCUUUCAUAGGCUUGACCUUGUGCUGAGAAAUUAUGCACAUUGUAUUAGUUAAAAUUCACAACAACCCUAAAAGGUUCAGACUGUUAUUAUCCCAUUUUACAGAUGAGGAAACUGAGGCCCAGAGAAACAUGCAACUUGCCCAAGGUGACAUAUCUAGUGAGGAGUGCAGCCAAGACGAGUUGAGGGUCUCAGCCUCGUGGUUCCAGGAGUGAUGGCAAUGAGGAGCGCCUAAAGCCUUUGUAGACCUGGCCUUAUGUGUGUGGCACCCUCCAGAGAGCCCAAGGAAUAACUGUGUGUCACCUAAGACAGCCACUCUGUGGACCACAUCCGGGUGGAAGGAGAGCACCUCCAAAUUUUAAACUGCUUCUCAGCAUGCAUCAGAUAAACAAAUAUUGUUUGAAUUUCAACACUGUACCAGCGUUUGUUGCAGCCCUUUGGCGGCUUUGAGGAAAAGGGAUUUCAAAGGAAGUCUGGAGGCAGAGAAACUAGGGGGAGGCUGUUGCAAGGAAACAUAGGAGAGGCAACAAUGGGUGCAAGAGGGCUUAGAGAUGAGACAGGGUAGGGAGGUCAGAAAAGGCGGAGCCGAUCUUGACUGUGUGUGAACAGGGAGCAAGGAGCGAAGCUGUUAGCCAGGAGAGAAGGAAGGAGCCCAGCAGGCUGCUGAGAUGUCUUGGUUGGGGGAUCGGGCAGGUGAACUUUCAAAGUCUUGAUACUCAUGAGUAAUUCCCUUUGGAUUCGUAUCAAACAACAGCCAUUGUCCUCCCCAGAGGGCUUGCGGCUAAACAUUUACUAGCACUCGACGGACUGCAUCCCCCAGUCAGCAAUUUCCAGUACAGACUUCAGAAAACCGUAUCCUGACUUUGAAAGUGGAGAUACAAAGUGAAGUACAUUAGGAUCUUAGCAAGAAAGUUUAAUGCCAGGAAGAGACGUUUAAGUUAUACAAAAAAGAAUACAUCAGAUUUCAAAAGGCAGAGAUGGCAUCAUGGUCUAGCCCUGUCUCCACUUUCAUCUUGGGGUGCUUUCCACACUUGGCUUCCCUCGGAGCCUUUAAUAUGCCCAGUUAACGUGUCAAGCCUUUCGUUCUCCUGAACAGCUUUCCCAGCCCUUACCUGGAUGGGCCCUCGGUGGCGCUCUUGAUCUCUCUGAUAGAAAUCGGUCACUUCCUUUUAUUGUCCUUGUCAUAGUUUGCCAUUGUCCAUUGAUUCAUUUGUUGCUUGUUUUUAUUUGGCCUCAGCCUCUGUUGUGGCGUCCCCACAAAGCGGGGAUGAUGACUGUUACUGAUGGUGGCUUUGACAAGCACGACUCCACUCUAGGCCUGACACACCACCUGGAGCAGGUCGUCCCUAUUUGUUCAGUAAUUAUGUUGAAUAAAUGGUGACUGUGAAGAAGGGCAUCAGUUACAGAGGGGAAAGUUGCAGAUACUCUGACAAAUGGUCUGGUGACUGAACUUAGACGUUAUGAGAUGGAGAGUGGAAGAUCGGACUCAGAGCUGGCGGGGGUCUGAUCCAGGAAGCCCCUCCAAUGUUGUAUGAGAGACUUGGACACCCAUCCAUGUGUGACAAAUGUGCAGCCGUCCGUGGAUCUGAAUCAAGAGAGAAGCGGCCUUCCUAGAACUUGAACAGCUUCCCUAUAACCUGGAGAAUCAUACCGCCUGUGUUGGAAGGUGAAGCAGAUCCCCUAUGUGGCUUAAGGUUGCCCUUGGCUGUGAAACGCCAUGGCUAGAAUGUGGCUUUUUCUUCUUCAAAAAGAGGGAACUGGAUAAAAUCAUGCUUUAUGAAGAAAAGAGUCACCAGGAAUGAACCAAGAAGUCAGAGAACUUAGACUCAAGAGACGAGAGUCUUCAGUGACAACAUCAACAUCCCCAAUACCCCCCAUCAGGAUGCCACCCAGGACACCACAUGAAGGAAGUUGUCCAAUCUCCCUGGGCUUGACUCUGCUCUGUGACACUUUCUCAAAUUUCCCUUGUUUUUGAUCACCUUGACAAUUUUGAGGAGUGCUGGUCAGAUAUUUUGCAGAAUAUCCUUCAAUUUGGAAUGAAGAAGUGAUAUGUGGAGGUGUAGCAGCCAUUCCGUGACCUGGACAUGGUGAGCAUGAAGAUAAAAGCCAAUGCGUAAAAGACAGCCGAGUAAAGAGUAGGACAGGCGCCUUGUCCCUGAUUGCAUCACAAGGCUGCUGCCCAGGCUCUGAAAUUGCAAUUUUCCUCCUUGAAGUACCACACAAGACUCAGCUGGAUUUCAAGGCUUUCUUCUUUCUCUUCUCAAGUCGAUGUAAACAAGAACAGAAUGACACAUUCACAGCCAGCUUCGCAUCUUGUCAUCUAGGUGGCCCAGGCACAGGAAAUCCAGGCCCCCAGUCUGCCUUCAUGUAGGGCUUAUUCAAAAUGGAAUGUGCUCAUGUCACCCCAGGAUUGAAACUUCUCCUGAUUCAGGGUGGCUCCCUGCCAAUGAGCAACGAGUGUACCUCAUGACGUGGCGGGAAUAGCCGGAAGUCCGCGGCUGCAGCUGGGGACAAAUAAAUGAGCCCCAGAUCCCUCGUGCUCUGGUAUCUUCCUGUCACCCUCCCUUCCUCUCUUAGGGACAGGCACUUUAUUCUGAAGUGAUCAAUCACAAUGAGUUGACCUUUGUAUUUAUGCUAGACUGUUCGCAUUAAGGGAUGUGCAUGUCCUCCCAAAGAAACGUUCAGUGUCUCCGUAACUGAUGCAUUUAUGAGACUCAAAUAAAAAAAGUUCUUUAAAGCACAGAAAGUGUCUGGGACGUGGGCCUGGCGAGGCCUCCCGCGGACGUGUUGACCAUGGCGGGCAGAGGUCUCUUGGCACAUCUCCUCCCAUCUCAUGGCGAAAAAUCUGGAGCUAGAUGAAAACCACCAACUCACACAUUCUGAAUCUCUAAAAUGUUUACUUCUAAAAUCGGAGCAUUGCAUAUAUUUAACUCCCUAGGCAUCUUUUCCAUUGAAAUUUAAAGUACAGCUAGAAGAUAAGGUUGUUUAUACUGGACUAUAGAAGCGUU